Molecule: long non-coding RNA, 622 nt
Organism: Pocillopora verrucosa
Lineage: Eukaryota; Metazoa; Cnidaria; Anthozoa; Scleractinia; Pocilloporidae
Source: RefSeq, a predicted model, not a curated record
CAAACGAUUAAUUGGGGAGGACUUCGAGGAAAGCCCUUUUAUUUGAAUCUUUUCACGCUUCAAUUUUCGGCCAUUAUUAUAUACAUGAAUAUGCUUAACGAGCUUCAUCAACACUAAAGCCGGCUCUCGUAAAACAGAUUAACAACUGGACAUAUCUACUUUUUACUUAUUCCUUCACGAGGAUUCUGAGCCUUCCAGUUCGCUGCAAAUCUUUCAGCACAUGACUGCACUGCAACCGGCAUGUUUUUGUUCAUAAUAUCUCAGUGCCGAGUAACUGAUGUAAUAUUACAGGCAGCUGUCCCGUUUGAGAUCUUUUUGCGAUCGGUGGAUGAAGUCUAGAUCCUAGGAUAGUCAAUGUGCUCGACUGCUGUAUUUCCCGUGAGCCAGUUGCCACAAGUUACAAAUCGAACGAAUUUAAUGUCGAUUUCCACGGACUUGACGCAUUCGUCACCCCUAUCCAGACUACCAAGUCACUACUACAGAAGUUUUACUUUCAGCUCUAUUUUUUUGUGAUCGAUAGAAGAUUGCCCGCGUCGUAUAGGGCCCCUUUUGGAUUUUUAACGGUGAUCGAAGUUGAAUUAUAGAGCUAUCUUGCAAUUGUAGAGCUGAUUACAAAUAAACA